Molecule: long non-coding RNA, 217 nt
Filed under: Elaeis guineensis (African oil palm)
Lineage: Eukaryota; Viridiplantae; Streptophyta; Magnoliopsida; Arecales; Arecaceae
Description: long non-coding RNA (EGUI_LNC043751)
Source: RNAcentral
AAGCAGAGCAAACCAUCAAAAGUUGACAAGAGCCAGGUAGAGUACUUCUUCUGCAAGAAGCUGGAUCAUUGAAAAAAGAAUUAUCCUACUUAUAUAGCUAUCCUUGACCUAAACAGGCCUAAGAACAAGAGAAAGAAGCAAUCGAUUGCUUCACAAGGUACUUAUAUGAUAAUUUCUUGUAAUUUUUUUAUUUGUGAUACUACUACCUGGGUAUUGG